Molecule: ribosomal RNA, 466 nt
Filed under: Vreelandella stevensii
Lineage: Bacteria; Pseudomonadati; Pseudomonadota; Gammaproteobacteria; Oceanospirillales; Halomonadaceae
Description: partial 16S ribosomal RNA
Rfam family: Bacterial small subunit ribosomal RNA
Source: RNAcentral
CCUACGGGAGGGCUGCAGUGGGGAAUAUUGGACAAUGGGGGCAACCCUGAUCCAGCCAUGCCGCGUGUGUGAAGAAGGCCCUCGGGUUGUAAAGCACUUUCAGUGAGGAAGAACGCCUGGUGGUUAAUACCCAUCAGGAAAGACAUCACUCACAGAAGAAGCACCGGCUAACUCCGUGCCAGCAGCCGCGGUAAUACGGAGGGUGCGAGCGUUAAUCGGAAUUACUGGGCGUAAAGCGCGCGUAGGUGGCUUGAUAAGCCGGUUGUGAAAGCCCCGGGCUCAACCUGGGAACGGCAUCCGGAACUGUCAAGCUAGAGUGCAGGAGAGGAAGGUAGAAUUCCCGGUGUAGCGGUGAAAUGCGUAGAGAUCGGGAGGAAUACCAGUGGCGAAGGCGGCCUUCUGGACUGACACUGACACUGAGGUGCGAAAGCGUGGGUAGCAAACAGGAUUAGAUACCCUGGUAGUC